Molecule: transfer RNA, 110 nt
Filed under: Promethearchaeota archaeon
Lineage: Archaea; Promethearchaeati; Promethearchaeota
Description: Candidatus Lokiarchaeota archaeon (microbial mat metagenome) tRNA-Arg
Source: RNAcentral
GGGGCCGUAGUCUAGUCUGGACUUCCAGAAGACAAUCUUCUGGAAGAGGCAAAUAAGGCACCAGCCUUCGGAGUUGGGCAUCCCCGGUUCAAAUCCGGGCGGUCCCGCCA